UUGUGCCUACGGGGCGCAGCAGUGGGGAAUAUUGCACAAUGGGGGAAACCCUGAUGCAGCGACGCCUCGUGAGUGAGGAAGUAUUUCGGUAUGUAAAGCUCUAUCAGCAGGGAAGAAGAAAGACGGUACCUGACUAAGAAGCCCCGGCUAACUACGUGCCAGCAGCCGCGGUAAUACGUAGGGGGCAAGCGUUAUCCGGAUUUACUGGGUGUAAAGGGAGCGUAGCCGGCUGUGCAAGUCUGACGUGAAAUCCCAGGGCUCAACCCUGGGACUGCUUUGGGAACUGUGGAGCUAG
Molecule: ribosomal RNA, 295 nt
Filed under: uncultured bacterium
Lineage: Bacteria
Description: partial 16S ribosomal RNA
Rfam family: Bacterial small subunit ribosomal RNA
Source: RNAcentral